This is a long non-coding RNA of Cyprinus carpio carpio, 1546 nucleotides long. The record is from Ensembl. NCBI's taxonomy places the organism in Eukaryota, Metazoa, Chordata, Actinopteri, Cypriniformes, Cyprinidae.
GCAGCAUGCUGAAGCUUCCUCUGUCGGUGUUUAUUUUGCCUACAAACCAUUUGGGUGCAAGAGAAAGUCUGUCUUUACCUUGUCGGCAUGCGGGAAAUAGAUUUUUGGAGGGGGUGGAAUUGAAAUGAUUGCUUUUUUCCCUCUUUCUAAUGUAAUAAAUGAAUGCAAAUUCUAAAUUUAAUCAGCCCAUAAAGCACAUAGCUAACAAAGCCCCCCACAGCUCUAACACAGAUCUGAAUUAUAUCCGAUUACAUCUAUACAGGCUCUGCAAUGCAUUAAACUCCAACUAGGCCUGUGACAUUUUCUUUGCAUUGUUCCCGAGGGCGAGAUCGAGUCUGUCCAUGCAUCCCAGCAUGCCCCAGGGCCCUGGCUGAGCGAGGGAGAAAGCGCGUUAACACGCAGCAAUUUGUCAGGACAGCAGUCCUCUCUGAAUUGCAGUUCAUUGACAGCGAUGCAGCUUUGGGUCUGUGGCGGGGCUGGCUAGAUUCCCAUGGCACAGAGAGCAGCUGCCUGAGUUUCAGGGCUCUGGAUAAAACUGUUUCUCUUCCAUGCCGAGAGAACGUAAUGACAGUAGGGCCCUUUGGGCCUGCCAGCCAUCUGCAGGUCCAGGUCCUGGUUAAGCAUGACCAGGUGCAGAGAAAAGUCUUCUUGCUACCUCUCAGCUGAUUAGUGGAGCCGGUUGAUUGGUGCAAAUGAGGAAGCUUUUAUCCUGCUUGAGUAUAAUCUGCUUGCAUCUUUAUUGGCUAAAAGCAGGCGUGAUGCUGGCAUGACCCAGGCUGCCCCAGGUACUGUGCUCAGAAAGGGUACUGACACUAAUGUCUUCUGACACACACAUCCCCCAUGCCCUUCCUGUUAAAGGUGCACACACAGAUACGCUGCAGAAAAAAAUCUCCAAAGCUUAUGCAUGCACUUUUUUAAUUACACUACUUUUGUGAAAAAUAUUUUUUAUAAUAUACACCAUAUUAAAAUGCACAUUCUCAGUGAAGGCGAGCGGGAACGUUCAGCACUUUAUAGCUGAAGCCUUUGGCGUAAUGGCUGCUUGUUUCCUUCUCAUCUUCUUUUGUCCUUAAAGGACGCUGCCUUGCCUAGCUGCACAGAUCCUUGGAGCAUCUUUCCUAUUUGUCUGUCCCUCUCUGUGCUGCAACACAGCCUGUUAUUUCAAGGAAAGUGCAACCUUUGCCUUGGGCUUUAAUUAUGUUCAAUUUGCCAAGCCGAGCCUGAAAAAUUCAGAGGGUAAAAAAGCUCUAUGACCUAUUUAUUAAUGCUGCGUUGGGUCUAAAGCUACACUGAGAUCAGCACUGCAUCACUCAACAAUAACACCCAUCUCUGGAGAACAGACUUCAAUCACGUUGUACUCCUCUCUUACAAUGGGAAUUCAUUACUUUAUAAUAGAUCACUGACCAGUUAAUCAUUAUUAAAAGAAAUGUAAAAGUUUGUAGUUAAGUGUGAUUUGUAAUUGGUGUACAUUGUUGGAAUUGUACAUGAAAUUGGCAAAAUGGAAAUUAUAUAUAUAUAUAUAUAUAUAUAUAUAUAUAUAUAUAUAUAU